GCUCUCUGGGUGACGAGCGGCGGACGGGUGAGUAAUGUCUGGGAAACUGCCUGAUGGAGGGGGAUAACUACUGGAAACGGUAGCUAAUACCGCAUAACGUCUUCGGACCAAAGUGGGGGACCUUCGGGCCUCACGCCAUCAGAUGUGCCCAGAUGGGAUUAGCUAGUAGGUGGGGUAAUGGCUCACCUAGGCGACGAUCCCUAGCUGGUCUGAGAGGAUGACCAGCCACACUGGAACUGAGACACGGUCCAGACUCCUACGGGAGGCAGCAGUGGGGAAUAUUGCACAAUGGGCGCAAGCCUGAUGCAGCCAUGCCGCGUGUGUGAAGAAGGCCUUCGGGUUGUAAAGCACUUUCAGCGAGGAGGAAGGGUUCAGUGUUAAUAGCACUGUGCAUUGACGUUACUCGCAGAAGAAGCACCGGCUAACUCCGUGCCAGCAGCCGCGGUAAUACGGAGGGUGCAAGCGUUAAUCGGAAUUACUGGGCGUAAAGCGCACGCAGGCGGUUUGUUAAGUCAGAUGUGAAAUCCCCGCGCUUAACGUGGGAACUGCAUUUGAAACUGGCAAGCUAGAGUCUUGUAGAGGGGGGUAGAAUUCCAGGUGUAGCGGUGAAAUGCGUAGAGAUCUGGAGGAAUACCGGUGGCGAAGGCGGCCCCCUGGACAAAGACUGACGCUCAGGUGCGAAAGCGUGGGGAGCAAACAGGAUUAGAUACCCCUGGUAGUCCACGCUGUAAACGAUGUCGACUUGGAGGUUGUGCCCUUGAGGCGUGGCUUCCGGAGCUAACGCGUUAAGUCGAC
Molecule: ribosomal RNA, 795 nt
Filed under: Serratia sp. (in: enterobacteria)
Lineage: Bacteria; Pseudomonadati; Pseudomonadota; Gammaproteobacteria; Enterobacterales; Yersiniaceae
Description: bacterial SSU rRNA
Rfam family: Bacterial small subunit ribosomal RNA
Source: RNAcentral